This 261-nucleotide unclassified non-coding RNA is filed under the name Hevea brasiliensis (rubber tree). The record is from RNAcentral. Lineage: Eukaryota; Viridiplantae; Streptophyta; Magnoliopsida; Malpighiales; Euphorbiaceae.
GAAAAUUAAUAAUAAAAUAAACUGAAUCUGUUCCAUGUUAGCAUACCCCAAAUACAUAUGAUAGCAUAAGUACACCAGUUCCUCUCAUGGCAUUUAAGACACCAACCAAAAAAUAUGUCCGAUAAAUCAAAGCGACAAAUUUCAUAGCAAUGAAUAGACCAAAGCUACCAUAAUCCACAGCACCAAGAGGCAAACACAAUCUCAAAAAUUCCGAGUAGAACAGCUCAUCCCAAGUACAGCCAGUAACCUUACCUCCCCAAG